RNAcentral lists this unclassified non-coding RNA (277 nucleotides) under Lingula anatina. Its description in RNAcentral is "uncharacterized LOC106171037, transcript variant X1". Lineage: Eukaryota; Metazoa; Brachiopoda; Lingulata; Lingulida; Lingulidae. The record is from RNAcentral.
CUGCCUGUGUACAUAAGCUCUGAAUCUCGUAGUCAUAUCUCAGUCGAGAAAAAAGGGUUGAGACGACGGACCUGAGCAGCGCCACCUACUGAAGAACAGAAUAAAGAUGAAAUCUCCUGUGAUACUCGUGGCAGUAGCAACCUUCUUCGUUGUCCUUUCAACGAUUGCGGCAGCACCCAAAAAGCCGAGAGAUGAUGUAUACGAUGUAAAAUUGUGUUUAGAACAAUGUAUGGUGUGUUUUGAUGGAAAGGACGAAAAAUACCUCAUGCCCUGCGCG